AGAGUUUGAUCCUGGCUCAGGACGAAUGCUGGCGGCGCGCCUAACACAUGCAAGUCGAACGAGAGAUGAGGAGCUUGCUCUUCAAAUCGAGUGGCGAACGGGUGAGUAACGCGUGAGGAACCUGCCUCAAAGAGGGGGACAACAGUUGGAAACGACUGCUAAUACCGCAUAAGCCCACGGCUCGGCAUCGAGCAGAGGGAAAAGGAGCAAUCCGCUUUGAGAUGGCCUCGCGUCCGAUUAGCUAGUUGGUGAGGUAACGGCCCACCAAGGCGACGAUCGGUAGCCGGACUGAGAGGUUGAACGGCCACAUUGGGACUGAGACACGGCCCAGACUCCUACGGGAGGCAGCAGUGGGGAAUAUUGCACAAUGGGGGAAACCCUGAUGCAGCGACGCCGCGUGGAGGAAGAAGGUCUUCGGAUUGUAAACUCCUGUUGUUGAGGAGGAUAAUGACGGUACUCAACAAGGAAGUGACGGCUAACUACGUGCCAGCAGCCGCGGUAAAACGUAGGUCACAAGCGUUGUCCGGAAUUACUGGGUGUAAAGGGAGCGCAGGCGGGAGAACAAGUUGGAAGUGAAAUCCAUGGGCUCAACCCAUGAACUGCUUUCAAAACUGUUUUUCUUGAGUAGUGCAGAGGUAGGCGGAAUUCCCGGUGUAGCGGUGGAAUGCGUAGAUAUCGGGAGGAACACCAGUGGCGAAGGCGGCCUACUGGGCACCAACUGACGCUGAGGCUCGAAAGUGUGGGUAGAAAACAGGAUUAGAUACCCUGGUAGUCCACACCGUAAACGAUGAUUACUAAGUGUUGGAGGAUUGACCCC
RNAcentral lists this ribosomal RNA (817 nucleotides) under uncultured bacterium. RNAcentral's name for it is "bacterial SSU rRNA". It matches the Rfam family "Bacterial small subunit ribosomal RNA", at positions 8 to 838 of the family's 1533-position model. The record is from RNAcentral.